GAUUGAACGCUGGCGGCAGGCCUAACACGUGCAAGUCGAGCGGAUGAGUGGAGCUUGCUCCAUGAUUCAGCGGCGGACGGGUGAGUAAUGCCUAGGAAUCUGCCUGGUAGUGGGGGACAACGUUUCGAAAGGAACGCUAAUACCGCAUACGUCCUACGGGAGAAAGCAGGGGACCUUCGGGCCUUGCGCUAUCAGAUGAGCCUAGGUCGGAUUAGCUAGUUGGUGAGGUAAUGGCUCACCAAGGCGACGAUCCGUAACUGGUCUGAGAGGAUGAUCAGUCACACUGGAACUGAGACACGGUCCAGACUCCUACGGGAGGCAGCAGUGGGGAAUAUUGGACAAUGGGCGAAACCUGAUCCAGCCAUGCCGCGUGUGUGAAGAAGGUCUUCGGAUUGUAAAGCACUUUAAGUUGGGAGGAAGGGCAUUAACCUAAUACGUUAGUGUUUUGACGUUACCGACAGAAUAAGCACCGGCUAACUUCGUGCCAGCAGCCGCGGUAAUACGAAGGGUGCAAGCGUUAAUCGGAAUUACUGGGCGUAAAGCGCGCGUAGGUGGUUUGUUAAGUUGGAUGUGAAAGCCCCGGGCUCAACCUGGGAACUGCAUCCAAAACUGGCAAGCUAGAGUAUGGCAGAGGGUGGUGGAAUUUCCUGUGUAGCGGUGAAAUGCGUAGAUAUAGGAAGGAACACCAGU
RNAcentral lists this ribosomal RNA (690 nucleotides) under uncultured Pseudomonas sp. RNAcentral describes it as "bacterial SSU rRNA". It matches the Rfam family "Bacterial small subunit ribosomal RNA", at positions 27 to 713 of the family's 1533-position model. Lineage: Bacteria; Pseudomonadati; Pseudomonadota; Gammaproteobacteria; Pseudomonadales; Pseudomonadaceae. The record is from RNAcentral.